GACGGGGGGUCCUAGCGUUGUUCGGAAUUACUGGGCGUAAAGCGUGUGUAGGCGGCCACGUAAGUCGGAUGUGAAAGCCCUGGGCUCAACCCAGGAAGUGCACUCGAUACUGCGUGGCUAGAGUACUGGAGAGGUUGGUGGAAUUCUCGGUGUAGAGGUGAAAUUCGUAGAUAUCGAGAGGAACACCGGUGGCGAAGGCGGCCAACUGGACAGAUACUGACGCUGAGACACGAAAGCGUGGGGAGCAAACAGG
RNAcentral lists this ribosomal RNA (253 nucleotides) under uncultured bacterium. RNAcentral describes it as "partial 16S ribosomal RNA". It matches the Rfam family "Bacterial small subunit ribosomal RNA", at positions 524 to 776 of the family's 1533-position model. The record is from RNAcentral.